AUUUUAGUACAAGUAUAUCCCAUGCAGUAUUUGUGAUAUACUAACUAAAU
This 50-nucleotide microRNA precursor is filed under the name Marmota monax (woodchuck). The record is from RNAcentral. Lineage: Eukaryota; Metazoa; Chordata; Mammalia; Rodentia; Sciuridae.